Molecule: transfer RNA, 105 nt
Filed under: Nitrososphaerota archaeon
Lineage: Archaea; Thermoproteati; Nitrososphaerota
Also listed under: 2 other names
Description: tRNA-Leu
Rfam family: tRNA
About the family: Transfer RNA (tRNA) molecules are approximately 80 nucleotides in length. Their secondary structure includes four short double-helical elements and three loops (D, anti-codon, and T loops).
Source: RNAcentral
GCGGGGGUACCCGAGUCAGGUCAAUGCUGGUCAGAAGCGGCUAGAGGGGGCAGGCUUAAGACCUGCUGGCGUAGGCCUUCGUGGGUUCGAAUCCCACCCCCCGCA